AAACUCAAAGGAAUUGACGGGGAGCACCACAACGGGUGGAGCUUGCGGUUUAAUUGGAUUCAACGCCGGAAAUCUUACCGGGACCGACAGCAACAUGAAGGCCAGGCUGAAGACUUUGCCGGAUUAGCUGAGAGGUGGUGCAUGGCCGUCGUCAGUUCGUACUGUGAAGCAUCCUGUUAAGUCAGGCAACGAGCGAGACCCACGCCCACAGUUGCCAGCGUACUCUCUGGAGUGAUGGGUACACUGUGGAGACCGCCGCUGCUAAAGCGGAGGAAGGAGUGGGCAACGGUAGGUCAGUAUGCCCCGAAUCUCCCGGGCUACACGCGGGCUACAAUGGUUGGUACAAUGGGCAUCUACCCCGAAAGGGGAAGGAAAUCUCUUAAAGCCAAUCGUAGUUCGGAUUGAGGGCUGCAACUCGCCCUCAUGAAGCUGGAAUCCGUAGUAAUCGCGUUUCAACAGAACGCGGUGAAUACGUCCCUGCUCCUU
RNAcentral lists this ribosomal RNA (486 nucleotides) under uncultured Methanosaeta sp. Its description in RNAcentral is "bacterial SSU rRNA". It matches the Rfam family "Archaeal small subunit ribosomal RNA", at positions 852 to 1338 of the family's 1478-position model. The record is from RNAcentral. Lineage: Archaea; Methanobacteriati; Methanobacteriota; Methanomicrobia; Methanotrichales; Methanotrichaceae.